GUACAUAAUUUUAGAUAUAUUCAUUUUUUAUACUUAAUAAACUAAUUACAUUUAAGUCCUUCUUAUAUACACUUUUUAAAGUGUCUUUUAGCUACCAUAAUGUAACUCGCCUUAAUAACUUUAUGAUAGUCUGCACCUUGAUCUGUAAUAUUAGAUGUUUUAUCUAAUAAGACAAUAUAUUAUAUAUUAUCAGUUACGACGGCAUACAAAAUAUUACAUGAAGUAGAUUACCUUGGUGGUUAUCAAUUAUUUGGUAAGUUCCCCUAAAAUUUAAAAUUACCGUCAUGCUAUUUGAGUUUUAAUCAACAAGAUUUUAGUACCCAGUAUUUGUUAUUUGAUAUUGUAUAAAAGGGUAUCUAAUCCUUGUUUAUGUAUCAAUAUUAUAAAUAUAUUAGGUUAUAUAAGAUUAUAAAUGUUUAUUUCACCAAUAUUAAUAUAUAAACUUUAUAUACUACACAUAGUUUAUUACUAUAAAAGUCUGACCGCGACUGCUGGCACUUUUUAAGUCAUAGUAUAUAUAAUUGGUUUAUUCUUACUUUCGUAAAUUUUUAAAUUUUCUUUACUGGUAAAAUCUAUUUAGUACCAUAAGUAUUCCUAUUAUUUAUAAACAGUUCACCAU
This 619-nucleotide ribosomal RNA is filed under the name Mandarina hirasei. Its description in RNAcentral is "partial 12S ribosomal RNA". Lineage: Eukaryota; Metazoa; Mollusca; Gastropoda; Stylommatophora; Camaenidae. The record is from RNAcentral.